Molecule: long non-coding RNA, 205 nt
Filed under: Homo sapiens (human)
Lineage: Eukaryota; Metazoa; Chordata; Mammalia; Primates; Hominidae
Description: HSALNT0112367
Source: RNAcentral
UUCCUUUUCCUCUUCCAUAGUUUGAAAUGCAAGGACAUGUGCUUCUUUUAAUGAUUUGUGUCUUUGCUGAUGUUGCUCCUCUAAUUCUUCAAGCUCUUGCGUAAGCCGCUGUCGUUCUUGCGUAAACUGGGCUUGCAGUUGUUGCAAAGAAGUCUGAGACUGGGAAAGCUGUAUCUCCAGAUUCUGUUUCAGCAAGGAAAUCUAU